RNAcentral lists this unclassified non-coding RNA (331 nucleotides) under soil metagenome. Its description in RNAcentral is "partial contains 5.8S ribosomal RNA, internal transcribed spacer 2, and large subunit ribosomal RNA". The stretch from base 1 to 120 matches the Rfam family "5.8S ribosomal RNA", at positions 35 to 154 of the family's 154-position model. The record is from RNAcentral.
GAUGAAGAACGCAGCGAAAUGCGAUAAGUAAUGUGAAUUGCAGAAUUCAGUGAAUCAUCGAAUCUUUGAACGCACAUUGCGCCCCCUGGUAUUCCGGGGGGCAUGCCUGUUCGUGCGUCAUUUCACCACUCAAGCCUCGCUUGGUAUUGGGCAACGCGGUCCGCCGCGUGCCUCAAAUCGACCGGCUGGGUCUUCUGUCCCCUAAGCGUUGUGGAAACUAUUCGCUAAAGGGUGUUCGGGAGGCUACGCCGUAAAACAACCCCAUUUCUAAGGUUGACCUCGGAUCAGGUAGGGAUACCCGCUGAACUUAAGCAUAUCAAUAAGCGGAGGA